AACAGUUUUUCAACUGUGAGUCUGAAGCUGGAGGUCAAGACUGAAGGUGUGACUCUGGGACUCUCCCUGGACAAACCCAUCUUUCAAGCUGCCUGCCUUAGAAUAACAUCAAGACAAGGUUGGGAAGAAAUUCUCCAUUCAUUCUGGUGGACAGAGUGAUUUUGGAAAAGAAUUUCUCAUUCCAAGAGUUUCUACGGACUCUUCAACUGGAUUUCUGCUGCUUGACCCACCAAGGACUCUGUGAAUAUUGUUCAGGAGUGUUGGACUUCCCUUCCCUACCUGAAAAGCUAUCAGAAGCAGCUUCAGAUAAUUUGACUAAUAUCCAUUCACUUGUGCUCAAAGGAAUUUGAUGGAAUAGCGGAGUAGAUUAUGGAAAUUAAAUAGAACUAACAACUACAAAGUCAUGUAUUUGAGGAAACACAGAAGUUCACUAAUAUGAAAUCAAAAGUUGAGGUGGUAAGAAUUGAAAGGAGAAAAAUAUUUUUGAGCUAGUAGAAAAUAGACACCAAAGGUGUCAAAUGAUAACAUUUGUACAAACCAGUGGAAUUGCUUGUUGGCUCUGGGAGAGGGGAGGAAAGAAGGAAUGGAAAGAAAAUUAAUCGUGUACACAUGGAAAAAAAUUAAAGAAAAUAUACACCAAGAUCUAGAUUAGGGGACUACUUUGUAUAUUGGGAAUGUUAAAGGAGAAGUUGUUCAGAAUUGGUUUGCCUAACAAUGGAAAUGAAGGAAAAUUCUGGCCCCCUACUCCUCCCAAUGAAUGAGAAAAGCUAGAACCAGCAUUAGAAAGGAUGACCAGGGAUGCAGUACCUUCCAUAGACAACCAGGACCUAGCAAAAGAAGAUGAAAGGAACAUGAGAAGAAGAAAUUGUAAAUGAAAAGGCAUUUGUUCAUUACAGCAUGGAAGUUCCAAAAGGUAAAAUAGAAGACAAUCAGAUCUAGAGUUAGACAAUGAAGUGGAAGGGUUAAGGUGAUGUGGAUAGGAAAGAGAAGGCACUAGCUAUUGGGAGGGGAGAUUUUUCUUCAGUCUUUAGGGUUCAUUAUCACUUGAAUGAAGAGAAUAAGCAAUAAUUGGGAUAACAAUUAACACUGGGGAAUGAGAACAAUUGUAUCAUUGGAUAGGACAGUGUCUAUCAAAUGGACUGAUGAAACAAGGAUAGGUUCAAUUUAGUUCAAAGUAGGAAGUUUUUGUACUGAUGAG
RNAcentral lists this long non-coding RNA (1198 nucleotides) under Monodelphis domestica (gray short-tailed opossum). Its description in RNAcentral is "lncRNA (ENSMODG00000034431.2)". The record is from RNAcentral. Lineage: Eukaryota; Metazoa; Chordata; Mammalia; Didelphimorphia; Didelphidae.